Long non-coding RNA from Biomphalaria glabrata, 171 nucleotides. RefSeq lists it as uncharacterized. The transcript is spliced from 2 exons. The record is from RefSeq and is a predicted model, not a curated record. NCBI's taxonomy places the organism in Eukaryota, Metazoa, Mollusca, Gastropoda, Planorbidae.
AACAAAUAUAAGACUGCAUGGUGACACUCAAAGUGCAAAGGAACCACAGCAUCUCCAACAAGACAGUCUAAUUUAGUGGUACUUCAUCAAAUAGAACAUGUCAGUGUUAGCUAUUCUAACAAUAUGUCUCCUUCUGGAGAUUGUGCCACAAACAACCUGCGAAAAGCAAGU